This 57-nucleotide transfer RNA is filed under the name Caudoviricetes sp. Its description in RNAcentral is "tRNA-OTHER". It matches the Rfam family "tRNA". Rfam says of the family: Transfer RNA (tRNA) molecules are approximately 80 nucleotides in length. The record is from RNAcentral. Lineage: Duplodnaviria; Heunggongvirae; Uroviricota; Caudoviricetes.
GCACACAUAGUUUAAGGGUAAAACAAAUUGAUGAUGGUUCAAAUCCAUCUGUGUGCA